UACGUACCGGACGAGCGUUAAUCGGAAUUACUGGGCGUAAAGCGCGCGUAGGUGGCUUGAUAAGCCGGUUGUGAAAGCCCCGGGCUCAACCUGGGAACGGCAUCCGGAACUGUCAGGCUAGAGUGCAGGAGAGGAAGGUAGAAUUCCCGGUGUAGCGGUGAAAUGCGUAGAGAUGUGGAGGAACACCAGUGGCGAAAGCGACUUUCUGGCCUAUACCUGACGCUGAGGCGCGAAAGCGUGGGGAUCAAACAGG
This 253-nucleotide unclassified non-coding RNA is filed under the name uncultured Halomonadaceae bacterium. Its description in RNAcentral is "contains 16S-23S intergenic spacer region". It matches the Rfam family "Bacterial small subunit ribosomal RNA", at positions 524 to 776 of the family's 1533-position model. Lineage: Bacteria; Pseudomonadati; Pseudomonadota; Gammaproteobacteria; Oceanospirillales; Halomonadaceae. The record is from RNAcentral.